GACGAACGCUGGCGGCGUGCUUAACACAUGCAAGUCGAACGGAAAGGCCCCUUUGGGGGUACUCGAGUGGCGAACGGGUGAGUAACACGUGAGUAACCUGCCCUUGACUUCGGGAUAACUUCAGGAAACUGGGGCUAAUACCGGAUAGGAAUCCUUGCUGCAUGGUGGGGUUGGGAAGGUUCGGCGGUUUUGGAUGGACUCGCGGCUUAUCAGCUUGUUGGUGGGGUAGUGGCUUACCAAGGCUUUGACGGGUAGCCGGCCUGAGAGGGCGACCGGCCACAUUGGGACUGAGAUACGGCCCAGACUCCUACGGGAGGCAGCAGUGGGGAAUAUUGCACAAUGGGCGGAAGCCUGAUGCAGCAACGCCGCGUGCGGGAUGACGGCCUUCGGGUUGUAAACCGCUUUCAGCAGGGGCGAAGCUUGUGGUGACGGUACCUGCAGAAGAAGCACCGGCUAACUACGUG
Molecule: ribosomal RNA, 464 nt
Filed under: uncultured bacterium
Lineage: Bacteria
Description: partial 16S ribosomal RNA
Rfam family: Bacterial small subunit ribosomal RNA
Source: RNAcentral